Molecule: ribosomal RNA, 385 nt
Filed under: uncultured Microgenomates group bacterium
Lineage: Bacteria
Description: bacterial SSU rRNA
Rfam family: Bacterial small subunit ribosomal RNA
Source: RNAcentral
GAAAUGUACCUGCACGGCCCCAGAACGGGCAAGCCUUAGAGGGUGGUACACAGCUGUUGCAUGGCUGUCGUCAGCUCGUGACGUGAGUUGUUCUCUUAAGUGAGGUAACGAGCGCAACCCCAUUCUGUGUUACUAUGUCACAGAAGACUGCCCAGCAUUAUUUUGUUGGGAGGAAGGAGGGGACGACGUCAAGUCAUCAUGAUGCUUAUAUCCGGGGCUACACACAUCCUACAAUGGGUGGUACAGAGGGUCGCAAUACCGCGAGGUGGAGCUAAUCCUUAAAACCUCCCUCAGUUGGGAUUGCAGGCUGAAACUCGCCUGCAUGAACUUGGAAUUGGUAGUAAUCGCAAAUCAGCAGAUUGCGGUGAAUACGUUCUCGCCUCUU